Cordylochernes scorpioides is the source of this 73-nucleotide non-coding RNA. The record is from the annotation of a GenBank genome assembly. NCBI's taxonomy places the organism in Eukaryota, Metazoa, Arthropoda, Arachnida, Pseudoscorpiones, Chernetidae.
UCCAGGGUAGCUUAGUGGACAUGGCAUCUGCCCGGUAAGCUGAACACUGUGGGUUCGAUUCCCAUCCCUGGAU